RNAcentral lists this transfer RNA (73 nucleotides) under Acinetobacter phage vB_AbaM_B09_Aci05. It matches the Rfam family "tRNA". From Rfam's summary of the family: Transfer RNA (tRNA) molecules are approximately 80 nucleotides in length. Their secondary structure includes four short double-helical elements and three loops (D, anti-codon, and T loops). Lineage: Duplodnaviria; Heunggongvirae; Uroviricota; Caudoviricetes; Luriaviridae. The record is from Rfam by way of RNAcentral. RNAcentral also lists the same sequence under 3 other names.
GGUCGAUUAGCUCAGUUGGUAGAGCAGAGUCUCGAUAAGGCUUUGGUCAUAGGUUCGAAUCCUAUAUCGACUA